GAGUGCAGAAGAGGAGAGUGGAAUUCCACGUGUAGCGGUGAAAUGCGUAGAGAUGUGGAGGAACACCAGUGGCGAAGGCGACUCUCUGGUCUGUAACUGACGCUGAGGCGCGAAAGCGUGGGGAGCGAACAGGAUUAGAUACCCUGGUAGUCCACGCCGUAAACGAUGAGUGCUAAGUGUUAGAGGGUUUCCGCCCUUUAGUGCUGCAGCUAACGCAUUAAGCACUCCGCCUGGGGAGUACGGUCGCAAGACUGAAACUCAAAGGAAUUGACGGGGGCCCGCACAAGCGGUGGAGCAUGUGGUUUAAUUCGAAGCAACGCGAAGAACCUUACCAGGUCUUGACAUCCUUUGCCACUUCUAGAGAUAGAAGGUUCCCCUUCGGGGGACAAAGUGACAGGUGGUGCAUGGUUGUCGUCAGCUCGUGUCGUGAGAUGUUGGGUUAAGUCCCGCAACGAGCGCAACCCUUGAUCUUAAUUGCCAGCAUUCAGUUGGGCACUCUAAGGUGACUGCCGGUGACAAACCGGAGGAAGGUGGGGAUGACGUCAAAUCAUCAUGCCCCUUAUGACCUGGGCUACACACGUGCUACAAUGGAUGGUACAAAGGGCUGCGAGACCGCGAGGUUUAGCCAAUCCCAUAAAACCAUUCUCAGCUCGGAUUGCAGGCUGCAACUCGCCUGCAUGAAGCUGGAAUCGCUAGUAAUCGCGGAUCAGCAUGCCGCGGUGAAUAAGUUCCCGGGCCUUGUACACACCGCCCGUAAGGGCGA
RNAcentral lists this ribosomal RNA (763 nucleotides) under uncultured bacterium. Its description in RNAcentral is "bacterial SSU rRNA". It matches the Rfam family "Bacterial small subunit ribosomal RNA", at positions 644 to 1405 of the family's 1533-position model. The record is from RNAcentral.